UGCCAGACUCCUACGGGAGGCAGCAGUGGGGGAUAUUGCACAAUGGGGGGAACCCUGAUGCAGCGACGCCGCGUGAACGAAGAAAUAUUUCGGUAUGUAAAGUUCUAUCAGCAGGGAAGAAAAUGACAGUACCUGACCAAGAAGCCCCGGCUAACUACGUGCCAGCAGCCGCGGUAAUACGUAGGGGGCGAGCGUUAUCCGGAUUUACUGGGUGUAAAGGGAGCGUAGACGGCAGUGCAAGUCCGGAGUGAAAGCCCGGGGCUCAACCCUGGGACUGCUCUGGAAACUGUAAAGCUGGAGUGCGGGAGGGGCAGGCGGAAUUCCUGGUGUAGCGGUGAAAUGCGUAGAUAUCAGGAGGAACACCGGCGGCGAAGGCGGCCUACUGGACGGUGACUGACGCUGAGGCUCGAAAGCGUGGGGAGCAAACAGGAUUAGAUACCCGUGUAUC
This 448-nucleotide ribosomal RNA is filed under the name uncultured bacterium. Its description in RNAcentral is "bacterial SSU rRNA". It matches the Rfam family "Bacterial small subunit ribosomal RNA", at positions 329 to 794 of the family's 1533-position model. The record is from RNAcentral.